UACGUAGGGGGCAAGCGUUGUCCGGAUUUAUUGGGAGUAAAGAGCGUGUAGGCGGUUUGGUAGGUCCGUUGUGAAAACUCGAGGCUCAACCUCGAGACGCCGAUGGAAACCAUCAGACUAGAGUCCGGAAGAGGAGAGUGGAAUUCCUGGUGUAGCGGUGAAAUGCGCAGAUAUCAGGAAGAACACCCGUGGCUAAGGCGGCUCUCUAGUACGGUACUGACGCUGAGACGCGAAAGCGUGGGAAGCAAACAGG
This 253-nucleotide ribosomal RNA is filed under the name uncultured bacterium. RNAcentral describes it as "partial 16S ribosomal RNA". It matches the Rfam family "Bacterial small subunit ribosomal RNA", at positions 524 to 776 of the family's 1533-position model. The record is from RNAcentral.